This 409-nucleotide ribosomal RNA is filed under the name Acanthamoeba sp. Its description in RNAcentral is "SSU rRNA". The stretch from base 1 to 350 matches the Rfam family "Eukaryotic small subunit ribosomal RNA", at positions 780 to 1115 of the family's 1831-position model. Lineage: Eukaryota; Discosea; Longamoebia; Acanthamoebidae. The record is from RNAcentral.
GCAGAUCCAUUUUCUGCCACCGAAUACAUUAGCAUGGGAUAAUGGAAUAGGACCCUGUCCUCCUAUUUUCAGUUGGUUUUGGCAGCGCGAGGACUAGGGUAAUGAUUAAUAGGGAUAGUUGGGGGCAUUAAUAUUUAAUUGUCAGAGGUGAAAUUCUUGGAUUUAUGAAAGAUUAACUUCUGCGAAAGCAUCUGCCAAGGAUGUUUUCAUUAAUCAAGAACGAAAGUUAGGGGAUCGAAGACGAUCAGAUACCGUCGUAGUCUUAACCAUAAACGAUGCCGACCAGCGAUUAGGAGACGUUGAAUACAAAACACCACCAUCGGCGCGGUCGUCCUUGGCGUCUCGGUUUCUGGCGGGGCCCGGGGGCGGGUUAGGCUUGUGCCGCCGGUGAAUGACUCCGCUUCCACCU